This 448-nucleotide ribosomal RNA is filed under the name uncultured bacterium. RNAcentral describes it as "partial 16S ribosomal RNA". It matches the Rfam family "Bacterial small subunit ribosomal RNA", at positions 338 to 795 of the family's 1533-position model. The record is from RNAcentral.
CCUACGGGUGGCUGCAGUUUCGAAUCAUUCACAAUGGGCGAAAGCCUGAUGGUGCGACGCCGCGUGAGGGAUGAAGGUCUUCGGAUUGUAAACCUCUGUCACUGGGGAGAAAACGCUUUGAGUUAAUAGUUCAAAGCCUGAUUUAACCCGGAGAGGAAGCAGUGGCUAACUCUGUGCCAGCAGCCGCGGUAAUACAGAGACUGCAAGCGUUAUUCGGAUGUGCGGGGGGUGUAGGGUGUGUCAGCGGUGGAAUCCCGAGGCUUAACCUCGGAACUGCGUCUGAAACUACUCGACUAGAGUACUGGAGAGGGAAACGGAAUUCACGGUGUAGCAGUGAAAUGCGUAGAUAUCGUGAGGAACACCAGAGGCGAAGGCGGUUUCCUGGACAGUUACUGACGCUCAGGCACGAAAGCAUGGGGAGCAAAAGGGAUUAGAUACCCCAGUAGUC